This is a long non-coding RNA of Brassica napus (rape), 2774 nucleotides long. RefSeq lists it as uncharacterized. NCBI's taxonomy places the organism in Eukaryota, Viridiplantae, Streptophyta, Magnoliopsida, Brassicales, Brassicaceae. The record is from RefSeq and is a predicted model, not a curated record. The transcript has 3 exons.
UCUUAGUAGAGGUUUUAAACAAAAGUAGGCAUUUAAUUAAAUCAAAAUAAAUGAAAAUUAAAGUAACCGAUCCUUAAUACAGAGUUUUGACAACCGACUAUAGAGAGAUUUCUUAAUACACGUGUCACCAGGCUGUUAUUUAGGAACUUUUUUAUUUUCUCUUUUUUCUUUCUUUUCUCUUCUUUCUCUUCUUUCUCUCCUCUUCUCUCGUGUUCGUCGACUCAAAGAAAAACGACAGAGAUGCCCGCUUGAUCGCCGGCGUUCUGUUUCUCUCCGGCCGCCGAGUCUUUCACCUUUUUUUACUAGUAAGAUUUUCGUUCUCUUAUCGAUGUCUUUGUUUAUUAUUAUUAUUUUUAAUCGUUAGUUGAAUCUGUUUGCAAAUCUUCGUUGAUGUGAUUAAAUUGGCUUAGAUUAACCUUUUGUAUGUGUUUGAUUGUUGAUUGUUCGAUAUGUAUCUACUGGAGAUUGAAACAUAGGCUCAGUCUCGUGGGUACAGUAGCUUUCGAUCUGGCUUUAACCGCCGCUGCAGCCUUCGCCGCCGAUGAUCAUCUUCGUGAAAACGUCCCCGUCAUGGUGGUCGAGACUGUUUUCCCUGGAGGAUCCGACCCGAAGGCUACUGUCUCAACCCGAUUGGCUUGGUCUUGUUUUCUAAGCAGGUAACAUGACACAAGACGAGGCAUGAAGUUGGUUGCUGUUUCUAAAAAAACACGAGGCAUGAAGUUGGUAGAAAGUUACUUGGGAGUGGAAGGAUCACGGACUUGUGUCUUGUGGUGAUUGUGUCUUGUGGUGAUUGUAUCAUUACAAUCAUCCAAGCAGCAGCUGGUGCUGGCCGUACAAUGCUGAUAAGUGAUAGUGGAAACGUUUACUCGUGUGGGAAAGAUUCGUUCGGUGAAGCUGAAUACGGAGGGCAAGGGUCUAAUGUUCCUGGUCUUGUUGUCUAGUUCGUAUGUCAGGAUCACUCACUCUAUCUUCAAAGAACGUCAAGAAUGGCUCGGGAAAGGUGUGUGUGUGUGUUGGAGUGUGUGUUGGAGUGUCACGAGAUAUGUGUGUCUGUUGUAGUUGUUGUCUUGUGGCACAAACAGUUUAUAAAUCACAAGAGAAGUGUUGUUGUUGUUGUCUUGUGUCGCGGGUGAUUUAUAAAUCACAAGAGAAGUUGUAGUUGUUCUCUUGUGUCACAGACACUUUAUAAAUCACAAACACACUUGAUUCUCUUUAUAAAUCACAAUCAAUUCUUCUCCUUCUCUUCACAUUCUUCUCUUCAUUUUUUUGCUCACAUUCUUCUCUCAAAUAUGAUGGGUGUUCAAAUUACAAUUCGUAAUAGACAAAUGCAUCACCAACUCAAAACUGAUUUGGUUGAACAUUUAUGAAGUAAAUUUGUAUGUGAUGAAAACAACAACUGAGUUCGAGAUGUUUAUUUCAAAUUAUUUUCGUUUAUUGUACUAAUUUUUAUUUUUAUGUUUUCUUUUAAAUCUAUGUUUUAAAUGUUAUCUUUUAAUAUGUUUUAUUUAAUAAAUAAAUUUUAUCUUAAAAUUUUUUUUUUUUAAGAAUCUCUAAUUAAGAAACUCCCAUUGGACCACUCAAAAUAAGAGUUUCUUAACUAGAGUUCUUAAUCCCACUAAAGUACAUUUAUAUAACUAAAUUAUCAUUAAGAAACCCAUUUAAGAGUCAUGGGAUAAUCAUGCUCUAAGACACGUAGCAAAGUUGGACACCUUAAUGAGAUUGUUGUGGAUUGGAAAAUGGACACUGCAAAACGCGUUUUACUCAUUUGGUUACGUUUAAAAAUUAUAUAUAGUCACUUUGGUCGGUCGAAACAAGGCUUACCAUUCGUCCACGAAUGAAUCUUAAACUUUACAACAGCAAAAAAGAAAUAUAAAACACUAGACUUUCUAACAAAAUGUGUAGUAUUUAGGAUUGAUUAUUGAUUUGUGCGUUAUUGGUUAUAUUGGAGCUACUUGGUCAAAAGCUGUACCGAACUUCCUAUUUGUGUAAAAAGAAGCUAUCAUCGAAUUUUUAUAUCGCACGUUUUAUGUCAUAAUCUAAUUAUGCGUCCACGCCACCUCAUCCUCAUCCUCUGUCACUUUUCACCAUCAAAUAAUUUGGUCUCCCUCUUAUCUCUUGGGAUUUAAUUGGGUAGUGUCGUGGGAGUGUACAUAAUAAACUUACACUUACAAUCGAUGAGCAUGAUGAGAUAAUACUGUGAUGUACCCACUGGUGAAAUUAAAGUGAGUUAGUUCUAAUAGAACAGACUAAGCACGUAACACGUAUCCAUAACUUUUUCUUUAAAGAAUUAUUCCCUUUUUAUGAUCUCACCCGCCAAGUAAUAAACUGAUACCAUAGCACUAAUAUAUCUUUGACUGUAUAGUGGUUACGACUUCUAGACUGUACGUGUCUUCUUUACUCGUCUUCUACAGUAUAUUCGUAUGUUGUACUCACUCGCAAAAGCUUCAGUGUUUGAAGUGUAAGAACAUUUGCUCCAGUUCCACUAAUGAUCAUUAAUUAUAUACUACUUCGUUUUGCAUAGUAUUAAUUAGUGAGCGUUUAGGGGUCUCCUUAUUCAUCUUCUAUCUUUGAUGUUGUUAAAGAAAAAAAGAUGAGAGUGAUUGCAUGCAGCAAUUGAUUUCAACCUUUUCUUUUAUUUUGAACAUUAAUGAAUCAUGACGUUACACGCAACGUUCGAUGGCGCCAUCUUCCACGAGAUCGCGCGAAGAAGCGGGCCAUACUAUGAACGUAAGCUUAAAUAAACUUGCGUGACGAAGAAACAUCCAGAAACAUCA